This 450-nucleotide ribosomal RNA is filed under the name uncultured bacterium. RNAcentral's name for it is "partial 16S ribosomal RNA". It matches the Rfam family "Bacterial small subunit ribosomal RNA", at positions 354 to 796 of the family's 1533-position model. The record is from RNAcentral.
GUGGGGAAUCUUCCGCAAUGGACGAAAGUCUGACGGAGCAACGCCGCGUGAGUGAUGAAGGUCUUCGGAUUGUAAAGCUCUGUUAAUCGGGACGAAAGAGCCUAGUGUGAAUAAUGCUAGGAAGUGACGGUACCGGAAUAGAAAGCCACGGCUAACUACGUGCCAGCAGCCGCGGUAAUACGUAGGUGGCAAGCGUUGUCCGGAAUUAUUGGGCGUAAAGCGCGCGCAGGCGGAUCUGCCAGUCUGUCUUAAAAGUUCGGGGCGUAACCCCGUGAUGGGAUGGAAACUACAGGUCUAGAGUAUCGGAGAGGAAAGUGGAAUUCCUAGUGUAGCGGUGAAAUGCGUAGAUAUUAGGAAGAACACCGGUGGCGAAGGCGACUUGCUGGCCAGCAACUGACGCUGAGGCGCGAAAGCCAGGGGAGCAAACGGGAUUAGAUACCCCUGUAGUCC